GAGUGCUUGCACUCAGCGGUCAAAGUGCGAGUGGCGAACGGGUGAGUAACACGUGGGCAAUCUGCCCAAAAGUGGGGGAUAACACUUGGAAACAGGUGCUAAUACCGCAUCAACCGGCUGACCGCAUGGUCGGCCGGGCAAAGACGGCGUCAGCUGUCGCUUUUGGAUGAGCCCGCGGCGUAUUAACUAGUUGGUAAGGUAACGGCUUACCAAGGUGAUGAUACGUAGCCGAACUGAGAGGUUGAUCGGCCACAUUGGGACUGAGACACGGCCCAAACUCCUACGGGAGGCAGCAGUAGGGAAUCUUCCACAAUGGACGCAAGUCUGAUGGAGCAACGCCGCGUGUAUGAAGAAGGUCUUCGGAUCGUAAAAUACUGUUGUCAGAGAAGAACACGUGAUAGAGUAACUGCUAUGACGCUGACGGUAUCUGACCAGCAAGUCACGGCUAACUACGUGCCAGCAGCCGCGGUAAUACGUAGGUGGCAAGCGUUGUCCGGAUUUAUUGGGCGUAAAGGGAACGCAGGCGGUCUUUUAAGUCUGAUGUGAAAGCCUUCGGCUUAACCGGAGAAGUGCAUUGGAAACUGGAAGACUUGAGUGCAGAAGAGGAGAGUGGAACUCCAUGUGUAGCGGUGAAAUGCGUAGAUAUAUGGAAGAACACCAGUGGCGAAAGCGGCUCUCUGGUCUGUAACUGACGCUGAGGUUCGAAAGCGUGGGGAGCGAACAGGAUUAGAUACCCUGGUAGUCCACGCUGUAAACGAUGAAUGC
This 765-nucleotide ribosomal RNA is filed under the name Ligilactobacillus acidipiscis. Its description in RNAcentral is "bacterial SSU rRNA". It matches the Rfam family "Bacterial small subunit ribosomal RNA", at positions 64 to 816 of the family's 1533-position model. The record is from RNAcentral. Lineage: Bacteria; Bacillati; Bacillota; Bacilli; Lactobacillales; Lactobacillaceae.